Non-coding RNA from Arvicanthis niloticus (Nile rat), 74 nucleotides. RefSeq annotates it as small Cajal body-specific RNA 18. Lineage: Eukaryota; Metazoa; Chordata; Mammalia; Rodentia; Muridae. The record is from RefSeq and is a predicted model, not a curated record.
CUGCCAAUGAUCACAUGACCACUGCGCAAUCUCUGGGAACCAGGUGAUGGAGUGUGCUAUGAACACUGAGCCCC